GAUGAACGCUGGCGGCGUGCUUAACACAUGCAAGUCGAACGGACAGGUCCUGCUUUUGCGGGGUGCUCGAGUGGCGAACGGGUGAGUAACACGCGAGUAACCCGUCCUUGUCUUUGGGAUAACUCUAGGAAACUGGGGCUCAUACCGGAUAGGAGCUCUUGAUGCACGGUGGGGGUUGGUAAGUUUCGGCGGUUGGGGCUGGACUCGCGGGUUAUCGGCUUGUUGGUGGGGUAGUGGCUUACGAAGGCUUCGACGGGUAGCCGGCCUGAGAGGGGAGCCGGCGACAAUGGGACUGCGAUACGGACCAGACGGGAACGGGAGGCAACAGGGGAAAAUAUUACAGAAUGAGGGGAAGCCUGAUGCGACGGCGCCGCGUGCGGAAAAACGGCCUUCGGGUGAAAAACCGCUUUGGACUGAAACGAAGCGGGAGUGACGGUAAUGGAUAAGAAAGCACCGGCUAACUACGUG
Molecule: ribosomal RNA, 468 nt
Filed under: uncultured bacterium
Lineage: Bacteria
Description: partial 16S ribosomal RNA
Rfam family: Bacterial small subunit ribosomal RNA
Source: RNAcentral